GAGGAAAGUCCGGGCUCCACGGAUCAACGGUGCCGGAUAACGUCCGGCGGGGGCAACCCCAGGGAAAGUGCCACAGAAAAGUAAACCGCCACGGGCGCGUUGCGUUUAGCCUGCGGCAAGGGUGAAACGGUGCGGUAAGAGCGCACCGCGUUUCCGGCAACGGAAGCGGCAGGGCAAACCCCACCGGGAGCAAAACCGAAUAGGAACGGCGCGCGUUUCCGCGCAAGCGGGAAAGCAGAUCGAUCCGGAUCAGCCGUUCGGGUAGGUCGCUUCAGGCACACAGCAAUCUGUGCCGCAGAGGAAUGGCCGUCACGUGCUGCGUUAUCGCGCAGCGCCAUACAGAACCCGGCUUACGAAUUCCGACAGAACCCGGCUUA
Molecule: RNase P RNA, 377 nt
Filed under: unidentified bacterium CPA62
Lineage: Bacteria
Description: partial RNAase P
Rfam family: Bacterial RNase P class A
About the family: Ribonuclease P (RNase P) is a ubiquitous endoribonuclease, found in archaea, bacteria and eukarya as well as chloroplasts and mitochondria. Its best characterised activity is the generation of mature 5'-ends of tRNAs by cleaving the 5'-leader elements of precursor-tRNAs.
Source: RNAcentral